GAGGAAUAUUGGUCAAUGGGCGGAAGCCUGAACCAGCCAUGCCGCGUGCAGGAAGACGGCCCUACGGGUUGUAAACUGCUUUUCUGCGGGAAGAACGGCCCCCACGGGUGGGGGUGUGACGGUACCGCAGGAAUAAGGAUCGGCUAACUCCGUGCCAGCAGCCGCGGUAAUACGGAGGAUCCGAGCGUUAUCCGGAUUUACUGGGUUUAAAGGGUGCGUAGGCUGUUCGCUAAGUCAGCGGUGAAAUGGCGCGGCUCAACCGUGCAGCUGCCGUUGAAACUGGCGGGCUUGAGUGGGUUCGAGGCAGGCGGAAUGCGCGGUGUAGCGGUGAAAUGCAUAGAUAUCGCGCAGAACGCCAAUAGCGUAGGCAGCUUGCCAGGCCCCAACUGACGCUGAGGCACGAAAGCGUGGGGAUCAAAC
RNAcentral lists this ribosomal RNA (420 nucleotides) under uncultured bacterium. RNAcentral describes it as "bacterial SSU rRNA". It matches the Rfam family "Bacterial small subunit ribosomal RNA", at positions 356 to 773 of the family's 1533-position model. The record is from RNAcentral.